UAAGUCCCGCAACGAGCGCAACCCACGUCGUUAGUUGCUAACAGUUCGGCUGAGAACUCUAACGAGACUGCCUGGGCAACCAGGAGGAAGGUGUGGACGACGUCAAGUCAUCAUGGCCCUUACGUCCAGGGCUACACACGUGCUACAAUGGGACAUACAAAGAGCCGCAAUACCGCGAGGUGGAGCAAAUCUCAAAAGUGUCUCCCAGUUCGGAUAGUAGUCUGCAACUCGACUACUUGAAGUUGGAAUCGCUAGUAAUCGUAGAUCAGCAAUGCUACGGUGAAUACGUUCCCGGGUCUU
Molecule: ribosomal RNA, 300 nt
Filed under: uncultured bacterium
Lineage: Bacteria
Description: bacterial SSU rRNA
Rfam family: Bacterial small subunit ribosomal RNA
Source: RNAcentral